This 1896-nucleotide long non-coding RNA is filed under the name Sus scrofa (pig). RNAcentral describes it as "lncRNA (ENSSSCG00060012333.1)". Lineage: Eukaryota; Metazoa; Chordata; Mammalia; Artiodactyla; Suidae. The record is from RNAcentral.
AUGCAUGCUUGUGUGUUCACAAGAGAAGAGCAUUUCUUUUGGCCGGUUGUAGGCAAACAUUACUUAUACCAUGUUUUGGCGUGCAGUAAUUGUUGGCCCCAGGCUUGGAGCAGGAGCUUGGGUAAUCACGGGAGAUGCGAAGCAGCGAGUGCGACAGUGCCAACGAAGUGCUUAAUCCAUGCAGGCUGGGAGAAGCAGAAGGAGAUGUUGCUCAUCCAGUUCCACCUUGUUCGUUUCAUGUCCCGUGCUGUUGCCCAGCUGGGAUCCUUGAGGACAAACACAUCACUGUGUCCUGGCCCCUCCCCAGGGCUGUGCAUGCACUGGCCAGUGAAGCAAGAGGUGAGUAAAUACCUGACGGCGUGAAGGGAUCAAUGAGAUCUGAGAUCACUUGUAACCCAGCUCUCUGUGAUUUAAAGGCAACAGGAUACCUGUUCUGAAGCAAGGUUAACACGAAUCCAUUUUAGAAGUAGGAUGCUUUUUACAAGGUUGAGACCUGUGCCAAUCUAAACCUAAGCUAUUUUGGCUGUAUUAUUCUUGUUUCUUUAAAAAAGAAAUCCAUUCAAAUGUAGGUGCCAUGUAGUAGAAAAAGUGCUGCCUGGGGAGGGUUAAUUUUAACAUCUGUUUUGUUUCUAAUCUCUGGUGUAACUUUAGUCAAGUCCCCUUUUUUGAGUCCAAUUUCUUCAACCCGAAGGUAAUAAGAUCUGUUCCACAGGGUUGUUGGGAGGGGUUAAAAUGUGAUAAUGGAUAUGAAAGUGCUUUGCAACUGAAAAGAACUCCACCUAUAAAAGGGGUUUUUAAUAUCAUUAUCAUUAUUGUUAUUUUAGAAGUCAUUUCCAUGGAAUGCAAAUGCAGUCUCUGGAGCUCCUUUGAGCCUCUAAGUGUACAGAUUGUAUUUAGAAGUUUAUAUCCUGCCCAAUAUGGGAUUGAACAACAGCCAACUAAUGCUAAUAGCCCUUAGUUACAGAAUGCCUGCCCUCUGAGCUCAAGAGCUGUGAAAAGCUGGAGCCAUCAUUCCUCAGUCAAUUUCCAUUGUCAUUCAUUCAACAAAUGUUUUCUGUAUGUCUGCUGUGUGUCAGGCACUACUUUUGACAGUGGGUGGGUGGCUGAUACUGUUGAUGUCUUAUUACAUUGGAGGAGAUUGCAGAUCCAUAGAAGACAAGGGACUUCUACAAGCCAUGUGCAAGAUAGGGUGGGGCCCCUGGGGUGCAGCUCAGAGAUUAGGGUAGGGUAGUGCCAACAUCAUGCAAAGAAGAAUUGUCUCGGGAACUGAAGCUGGGCACUCCUGGUUUGAGUCACGUCUUCAUCUACAGCAAAGUGUGCCUUUGCCUUAUUUGCCCAUAAUGAGAAAUGAUGUCAGUGGCUAAAGGCACACUGUCCCAGAGCUGCCUCCUGCAGAGCCCUGCUCGGGCUGAGACACAUUUCACACAGUUGCAGUUUCACUUUUAUCCUCCAGAGAGAACAGGCUCUUUCUUCCAAGUGGAGGGUUUUUAAGUUGCAGGGAUAAAAGCUCCCCUUUCAUGUGUGAACGAGUCAGCAAGGAUGUGGUAAUCCAGCCCAAGGUGCUACAGAGGAGCAUGAAGCAUGUUUCUCCUUUUCAGCCUUGUCCCCUCUCAAAGACAUUUCCUACCAAGGGUUCUGAGUGAGCUUCCACAGCUUUAGCCAGAACGGGGAAAUUACAUCGAUCAUCGGUACCGUUUUCAGUGGCAUGGUUGGUACAGUGAAUUCAACGCAUUGGCGGAGAGAUUAUGGACCUAGAGAAAGACAGAGAGAUGAUGAGACCUUCUCCUUCCAAAAGGUCACUGUGGGGCAAUUAAGGACAUAUAAAAUUAAUCAUGGAGUUCCUGUCGUGGCACAGUGGUUAAUAAAUCUGACUGGGAACCAUGAGGUUGCGGGUUC